Molecule: ribosomal RNA, 274 nt
Filed under: uncultured bacterium
Lineage: Bacteria
Description: partial 16S ribosomal RNA
Rfam family: Bacterial small subunit ribosomal RNA
Source: RNAcentral
AAUCAACGCUGGCGGCGUGCCUCAGACAUGCAAGUCGAACGAUUAAACUUUCCUUCGGGAAAGAUAUAAAGUGGCGCACGGGUGAGUAACACGUAGGUAAUGUACCUUUGGGUGGGGAAGUAACUUAGGGAAACGUUAAAGCUAAUACCGCAUAAUGCAGCGGCUCCUUCGGGAGACAGUUGUUAAAGAAUUUAUUCGCCUAAAGAGCAGCCUGCGGCAGAUUAGCUAGUUGGUAAGGUAACGGCUUACCAAGGCGACGAUCUGUAUCCGACCU